Molecule: small RNA, 571 nt
Filed under: Pan troglodytes (chimpanzee)
Lineage: Eukaryota; Metazoa; Chordata; Mammalia; Primates; Hominidae
Description: processed transcript
Source: RNAcentral
AUGGAGUCCCGGCGAGCUUUGUGCGCAUGUGCGGGGAGGACAGGCUGCGGGAGGAGCUGCAGGACUGAGGUACAGAGGCCAGGGGCCCAGGGCGGGACCCAGCCUGGACUUGACUCCCUGGGAUCCCAGGAAGGGCACACCCUUUCCUCACCACCUGAGUGAGCGCUGCCCCCUCACAGAGACCUCUUUGCCCCCUGGGCCAGGCAGAGCAGGCGCUGCGGUCCGGGAGGCCCCAUGGAGGUGGCGGUGCCUGUGAAGCAGGAGGCCGAGGGCCUGGCGCUGGACUCGCCGUGGCACCGCUUCCGCCGCUUCCACCUGGGCGACGCGCCGGGCCCGCGGGAGGCGCUGGGGCUGCUCCGCGCCCUGUGCCGGGACUGGCUGCGGCCCGAGGUGCACACCAAGGAGCAGAUGUUGGAGCUGCUGGUGCUGGAACAGUUCCUGAGCGCGCUGCCCGCCGACACGCAGGCCUGGGUGUGCAGCCGGCAGCCGCAGAGCGGGGAGGAGGCGGUGGCCCUGCUGGAGGAGCUCUGGCAUCAGUGACCACAGAAGACAUCUGUGACCAAAUGUUGGA